AAACAAACAGCUAAGUGAUCAGGAGAUUCUCAGCCUCUAGGAAAAAGACUUUAGACUGUUGAUGCUGAAGAUGAUGCAAGACAUUGGAAAUAAACAGGAGGCAAAGAUGGAUAAUUUAUAGGAAACACUGAGCAAAGACAUACAAGAUAUAAAACUUAACCAAGAAGAGAUGCAAAAUACAAUCACUGAGAUAAAAAAUUCAUUAGAAGCAACCAACAGUGGCAUACAGGAGGCAGAAGAAUGAAUAAGCAAGGUGGAGGACAGAUUAGUGGAAAUCAUGGAUGCAGAACAGAAAAGAGAAAAAAGAUUGAAAACAAAUGAAGAGAGUCUCAGAGAACUCUGGGAAGACUGAGAAGUCUCUGGGACAACGUUAAAUGCACCAACAUCCGUAUUAUAGGGAAGGAGGAGAGAGAGAGAAAGGAACAGAAAAAAUAUUCGAAGAAAUAAUAGCCAAAAACUUCCCUAACAUGGGAAAGGAACCACUCACUCAAAUCCAGGAAGUACAACCAGUACCGUAUAAAAUAAACCCAAGGAGGAACAUUCCAAGACGCAUAUUAAUCAAACUGACCAAAAUAAAAGACAAAGAGAAAAUACUGAAAGCAGCUAGAGAAAAGCAACAAAUAACAUACAAGGGAACCCCCAAUAAAGUUAGCAGCAGAUUUUUCAGCAGAAACUUCAGACCAGAAGGGAAUGUCAUGAUAUACUUAACGUGAUGAAAGGAGAAAUUCUCCAACCAAGAUUACUUUACCCAGCAAGGCUCUCAUUCAGAUUUGAAGGAGAAAUCAGAAGCUUCACAGAUAAGCAAAAGCUAAGAGAAUUCAGCAACCCUAAACCAGCUUUAUAACAAAUACUCAAGGAACUUCUCUAGGCAGAAAAGAGAAGGCCACAACCAGAAACAAAAAUACCACAAAUGACAAGGCUCACCAGUAAAGGCAUGUAUACAGUGAAGAUACAAAAUCAUCCAUGCAUAAUUAUGCCACUAAAAUCAGAAAUCAUGAGAAGAGGAGGGUGCAAAUGCAGGACACUGGAGAUGCACUUGCAAUUAAGAGACCAACAACGGACAACAAUCUCAUAUAUAUACAUAUAUACACACACACACACACACACAUAUAUAUACACACAUAUAUAUAUUCAUAUCAAAACUUCAGAGUAAGUGCAAGCCAAAAAUCUACAAUUGAUACACACACAAGUAAGAAAAAUCAACUCAAAUACAGCACUAAAGAUAGUCAUCAAACCACAAGAGGAGAGAACAAGAGAGGAAAGGAAGAAAAAAGAGCAACAAAAACAAAUCCAAAGCAUGAAUAAAAUGGCAAUAAGAACAUACAUAUCAAUAAUUACCUUAAGUGUUGAUGGACUAAACACCCCAACCAAAAGACAUAGACUGGCUGAAUGGAUACAAAAACAAGAUCCAUAUAUGUGCUGUCUUCAAGAGACCCAUUUCACUUCUAGUGACACAUACAGAUUGAAAGUGAGAGGAUGGAAGAAAAUAUUCUCUGCAAAUGGGAAUCAAAAGAAAGUCGGAGUAGCAAUACUCAUAUCAGACAAAAUAGACCUUAAAAUGAAGAAUAUUUUAGGGGACAAGGAAGGUCACUACCUAAUGAUCAAAGGAUCAAUCCAAUAAGAAGACAUAACAAUUUUAAAUAUCUAUGCACCCAACAUAGGUUCACCACAAUAUAUAAGGCAACUGCUAACAGCCUUAAAAGGAUGAAUUGACAAUAACACAAAAAUAGUGGGGGACUUUAGCAUCCCACUUGCAGCAAUGGACAGAUCAUCCAGACAGAAAAUCAGUAAGGAAACACAGGCCCUGAAUGAAGCAUUAGACCAGAUGGACUGAAUAUAUACUUAUAGGACAUUUCAUCCAAGAGCAACAGAAUACACAUUCUUCUCAAGUGCAUAUGGAACAUUCUCUAAGAUUGAUCACAUCCUGGGCCUUGGUAACUUUAAGAAAAUUGAAAUCAUAUCAAGCAUUUUUUUUCUGACCACGCUAUGUGACUGGAAGUCAACAACAAGGAAAAAACUGCAAAAAACACAAACACAUGGAGACUAAACAACAUGCUACUGAACAAAUAAUGGAUCAUUGAAGAAA
RNAcentral lists this long non-coding RNA (2086 nucleotides) under Sus scrofa (pig). RNAcentral's name for it is "lncRNA (ENSSSCG00030067318.1)". The record is from RNAcentral. Lineage: Eukaryota; Metazoa; Chordata; Mammalia; Artiodactyla; Suidae.